This is a transfer RNA of Fistulifera solaris, 82 nucleotides long. It matches the Rfam family "tRNA". Rfam says of the family: Transfer RNA (tRNA) molecules are approximately 80 nucleotides in length. Their secondary structure includes four short double-helical elements and three loops (D, anti-codon, and T loops). NCBI's taxonomy places the organism in Eukaryota, Bacillariophyta, Bacillariophyceae, Naviculales, Stauroneidaceae. The record is from Rfam.
GACAUCGUGUCCGAGUGGUUAAGGAGAAUGAUUCGAAAUCAUUUGGGUUUCACCCGCGCAGGUUCGAGUCCUGUCGAUGUCG